AGAAACUUAGGAUUAAACUACCGCCCAAACCAAAGGCCUUCAAAGCCUUAAAUAAGAGUUAAACUCUCUUAGUUUCUG
Molecule: non-coding RNA, 78 nt
Organism: Phasianus colchicus (ring-necked pheasant)
Lineage: Eukaryota; Metazoa; Chordata; Aves; Galliformes; Phasianidae
Source: the annotation of a RefSeq genome assembly